Molecule: ribosomal RNA, 447 nt
Filed under: uncultured bacterium
Lineage: Bacteria
Description: partial 16S ribosomal RNA
Rfam family: Bacterial small subunit ribosomal RNA
Source: RNAcentral
GCCAGACUCCUACGGGAGGCAGCAGUGGGGGAUAUUGCACAAUGGGGGGAACCCUGAUGCAGCGACGCCGCGUGGGUGAAGGAGUAUUUCGGUAUGUAAAGCCCUAUCGGCAGGGAAGAAGCAAGACGGUACCUGACUAAGAAGCCCCGGCUAACUACGUGCCAGCAGCCGCGGUAAUACGUAGGGGGCAAGCGUUAUCCGGAUUUACUGGGUGUAAAGGGAGCGUAGACGGCGAUGCAAGUCUGAAGUGAAAGGCGGGGGCCCAACCCCCGGACUGCUUUGGAAACUGUAUAGCUGGAGUGCAGGAGAGGUAAGUGGAAUUCCUAGUGUAGCGGUGAAAUGCGUAGAUAUUAGGAGGAACACCAGUGGCGAAGGCGGCUUACUGGACUGUAACUGACGUUGAGGCUCGAAAGCGUGGGGAGCAAACAGGAUUAGAUACCCCCGUAU